Molecule: long non-coding RNA, 1530 nt
Filed under: Pan troglodytes (chimpanzee)
Lineage: Eukaryota; Metazoa; Chordata; Mammalia; Primates; Hominidae
Description: long non-coding RNA NONPTRT005767
Source: RNAcentral
GCUAGAAACUAGGUUGAUUCAAAGUCUUUUGUGGACACUUCCUUUAAGAACAGUAUUGAUAGACUGCCUUUAUGCAAAUCCCUUUGGAAGAAAGGAUGGAGAGGAAGAAGCCGGAAACAGAUCAGAGGCAGGAAAUACCAAAUUGCAUGUUUAUAAACGCUGUGAAGGAAUAUGACAAGAGGGGAUAAUGCUAGACUGGCGGCCAUGGAAACUGAAGUCUUCUGUUUGUUCACAGGACAGCUCAUAGCCCUGAAAGUCCCAGUUCAAGCUUCCACAAUCAUCCUACACAAGAGCACUGCUUCUCACAGGACUGCCUCAGCCUGGCAGGAUUCAGUCUCCUGCUCUGAGGGAAAAACAGGAAGUCAAGGAUCAAGACCGCGUGCUCAACUGAGAUCAGAAAGGAGGACAUACAGUGACUUGGCCAAAUCACUGGAGAUUCACACAGCAGAGCUCAGACGAGUGCUAUCAGCACAGCUGAGGAAGACAAGAGUUAGGGUGCAAGGAUCCUGAAAGAGAAACAUUGGUUGUGUUUUUAUUCCUUGGGUAUAAGAAUCCUGAAACAGAAAGGCAUCUGAACCUUGGAGGCAUGGGGUUCAUCUCAUCCUCAUCCAGCCUUUCACCAGAAACGUGAGGAGACUCAUACCACUUGAGGUAGUGUGGAUGUGUGGCACAGUUUUGGAGAGGGCUAUUCCCCUACCUUUACAUGGAAUCCAGUAACUCUCUGAAAACAUAGCAAUGGCAAAAGUCCUUUUCGAGACUGCAAGGAAAACAAACAACUACCAAGAGAAGUCCAAGCAUCAGGGAAAGAAUGAAGUGGUGUGGAGACCGUAGCCAAUAGCUGCUUUAUGAGCACAUUUGUGGCUACCCUUGGGGACCCAAGAAAUAACCGGUUCUGCUUAAAUUCAGCAUCUUCUCUCAGUUCAAAUUUAAGAAAGGAGAUACCACACCACCUACCGACAUAUCCCAUUCUGGAAGAGUAUACAAACUAAAGAUAGAAAACUUCUCAAAUCUACCUGGAAGCUUGCAUAUUCAAAGGAACUAUUUGUUGGAGUGCCAGAUUAUUUAAGGGCCUUUGCAUGUUUCAAGUCCUCUUCUUAAAAAAAGCUGGGGGUGCAUUUCUACAAAGACAGACAGUCUCCAACCCUUUAUGGAGCUUUUGAUCUAAAAGAGAGAGAAUGCUUCCAACACUAUAAAGGACACCCUUAGUCAAAUCUUCUACGAAGAGGAUCCCAUUUUACUCACGCAACUGCUCUAGAUGCUCAUCACUGUUGGACUCAGGCAUGGCCGUGAUGGUCACCAAGGGACACGGAUUCCCUCCCAGCGUCUGGCAGAGAACAUCUUGCCGGAAGUAGACCUCUUUGAGGUUGACACUCUUUUCCAGGAUGUCAAGAUGAGUCUGGAGCAGAAAUAAAGCAGGCAUGUAUAUUAUCAACAUUUUUUAUAACAACAAUAAUAGAAAACAACAACGGCUUACAUAUAGUUUAGAAGUAUUGUUGUUAAUCUAAUCUGUCCUUUAUGUAUUGGGCCUUG